This is a non-coding RNA of Caenorhabditis elegans, 21 nucleotides long. NCBI's taxonomy places the organism in Eukaryota, Metazoa, Nematoda, Chromadorea, Rhabditida, Rhabditidae. The record is from Ensembl.
UUAUUAUUAUAGAACGGACGA